CAAUUAAACCAACCACAUCUGCAUAUGACCAUGACCAUGUUACCACAUUCAUUUACUAUGAUUGCAACAAUAAUUAUUGCUCUUGCACAAACACUUGUAGGGGUGAGUUCACUUCCUGAAGCUGAUAAAAUAAGCAAUUUGCCGGGGCAGCCAAAGGUCAAAUUUCAGCAAUAUUCAGGUUACAUUACUGUGGAUGACCAACAUCAGAGAGCUUUGUUUUAUUACUUUGUUCAAGCAGAAAAACACCCUACUUCCAAGCCAUUAGUCCUUUGGUUGAACGGAGGUCCUGGUUGUUCAUCCAUUGGCGUUGGAGCUUUAGUUGAACAUGGCCCUUUCAAACCGGGUGACAAUAAUGUUCUUGUGAAAAAUCAUUAUAGUUGGAACAAAGUGGCAAAUGUGCUAUACUUGGAAUCACCGGCUGGUGUUGGAUUCUCCUACUCUAGCAAUACAUCUUUCUAUACCUUAGUGACAGAUGAAAUUACAGCUAGGGAUAAUCUUGUUUUCCUGCAGCGCUGGUUCACCGAAUUCCCUGAGUACUCAAAUAACGACUUCUUCAUUACAGGGGAGAGCUACGCAGGUCACUAUGUUCCACAACUUGCACAACUUAUUGUUCAAUCCAAGGCCAACUUCAAUCUCAAAGGGAUAGCAAUAGGGAAUCCUCUUAUGGAAUUUGAUACUGACUUGAACUCCAAAGCUGAAUUCUUUUGGUCACACGGACUUAUUUCAGAUUCAACUUAUGAUCUCUUUACCAGAGUUUGCAACUACUCUACAAUUAGGAGACAAAUGAUACAUGGGAAUGUUAGUGACAUUUGUGCAAAUAUAACUAAACUGGUUUUUACUGAGGUUAGCGACUAUGUAGACCAAUAUGAUGUCACUCUAGAUGUGUGUUUGUCGUCGGCAAAUCAACAGUCCUAUGUGCUGAAUCAAAUGCAAGAGACACGUAAGAUAGAUGUUUGUGUGGACGACAAAGCAAUCACAUACUUAAACAGAAAAGAUGUGCAGCAAGCUCUCCAUGCCAAGCUUGUUGGAGUCUCCAACUGGUCAACUUGCAGCAGGGUUCUCCAUUAUGACCGUCGGAAUCUAGAGUGGAGAUCAAGAUUCAGUUAUUCCAUUGCUGGGAACGCGAUCUUUGGUGAAUGGAUUAGCUAAGGAACUUGGACUGAAUACAACAGUGGCCUAUAGAGCCUGGUUUGAAGGAAAACAGGUAGCAGGAUGGACACAAGUAUAUGGGGAUAUCUUAUCAUAUGCCACCAUUAGAGGAGCAUCUCAUGAAGCUCCCUUUACUCAACCACAGAGAUCACUCGGGCUACUUAAAGCCUUUUUGGAAGGAAAGCCAUUACCAAGUAUUGUAUAAAAUAAGAACAGCUUUAAUUACAAAUUCCUUUUACCGCAAUAAGUAUAAAUCCUAAUAGAGUUCUCACGAAAUUGGUUACUGCUAUUGGAUCGCCUUUUAAUUGUUUUUUUAGUGCUUUUUAUCUUUCUGUAUUUUGUUUUCUUUCCCAUGAGUUACAAGAGCACAAAUUGAAAGUAAGCAUAAGCAAUAGCCAUGUAUAAUCCAUUGAAACGAAUGAACUCAACAGAUUGUAAUCUAUAAACUGAUUGGGGAUAUUUUUA
Molecule: non-coding RNA, 1614 nt
Organism: Cajanus cajan (pigeon pea)
Lineage: Eukaryota; Viridiplantae; Streptophyta; Magnoliopsida; Fabales; Fabaceae
Source: RefSeq, a predicted model, not a curated record